AUUAAACGCUGGCGGCAUGCCUUACACAUGCAAGUCGAACGGCAGCACGGGAGCAAUCCUGGUGGCGAGUGGCGAACGGGUGAGUAAUGUAUCGGAACGUACCUUUCAGUGGGGGAUAACGUAGCGAAAGUUACGCUAAUACCGCAUAUUCUGUGAGCAGGAAAGCAGGGGAUCGCAAGACCUUGCGCUGAUUGAGCGGCCGAUAUCAGAUUAGCUAGUUGGUGAGGUAAAGGCUCACCAAGGCGACGAUCUGUAGCGGGUCUGAGAGGAUGAUCCGCCACACUGGAACUGAGACACGGUCCAGACUCCUACGGGAGGCAGCAGUGGGGAAUUUUGGACAAUGGGCGCAAGCCUGAUCCAGCCAUGCCGCGUGAGUGAAGAAGGCCUCGGUUGUAAG
This 397-nucleotide ribosomal RNA is filed under the name uncultured bacterium. RNAcentral's name for it is "bacterial SSU rRNA". It matches the Rfam family "Bacterial small subunit ribosomal RNA", at positions 30 to 429 of the family's 1533-position model. The record is from RNAcentral.